This 484-nucleotide ribosomal RNA is filed under the name uncultured bacterium. RNAcentral describes it as "partial 16S ribosomal RNA". It matches the Rfam family "Bacterial small subunit ribosomal RNA", at positions 30 to 507 of the family's 1533-position model. The record is from RNAcentral.
AUUGAACGCUGGCGGCAGGCCUAACACAUGCAAGUCGAGCGGAUGAAGGGAGCUUGCUCCUGGAUUCAGCGGCGGACGGGUGAGUAAUGCCUAGGAAUCUGCCUGGUAGUGGGGGAUAACGUCCGGAAACGGGCGCUAAUACCGCAUACGUCCUGAGGGAGAAAGUGGGGGAUCUUCGGACCUCACGCUAUCAGAUGAGCCUAGGUCGGAUUAGCUAGUUGGUGGGGUAAAGGCCUACCAAGGCGACGAUCCGUAACUGGUCUGAGAGGAUGAUCAGUCACACUGGAACUGAGACACGGUCCAGACUCCUGCGGGAGGCAGCAGUGGGGAAUAUUGGACAAUGGGCGAAAGCCUGGUCCAGCCAUGCCGCGUGUGUGAAGAAGGUCCUCGGAUUGUAAAGCACUUUAAGUUGGGAGGAAGGGCAGUAAGUUAAUACCUUGCUGUUUUGACGUUACCAACAGAAUAAGCACCGGCUAACUUCGUG